GACGAACGCUGGCGGCGUGCUUAACACAUGCAAGUCGAGCGGUAAGGCCCUUUCGGGGGUACACGAGCGGCGAACGGGUGAGUAACACGUGGGUGACCUGCCCUCAGCUCUGGGAUAAGCCUGGGAAACCGGGUCUAAUACCGGAUAUGACUCCAUGACGCAUGUUGUGGGGUGGAAAGCCUUGUGCGGCUGAGGAUGGGCCCGCGGCCUAUCAGCUUGUUGGUGGGGUGANGGCCUACCAAGGCGACGACGGGUAGCCGGCCUGAGAGGCGACCGGCCACACUGGGACUGAGACACGGCCCAGACUCCUACGGGAGGCAGCAGUGGGGAAUCUUGCGCAAUGGGCGAAAGCCUGACGCAGCGACGCCGCGUGAGGGAUGACGGCCU
RNAcentral lists this ribosomal RNA (387 nucleotides) under uncultured bacterium. RNAcentral describes it as "bacterial SSU rRNA". It matches the Rfam family "Bacterial small subunit ribosomal RNA", at positions 28 to 417 of the family's 1533-position model. The record is from RNAcentral.